AAUACUUAUUGGAAAUUAAUAUGGAUUAUGUUUCAAGUAGGCUUAUUUAAAUUACCUACAUACGGCGGACAAUAAUGUCGAGAACAUUCUAGAAGGUGUGAGAAAGACAAUAUUCUCAAACUUUCUCGAAUAUCCUAGAGCCUAGCUCCCUGAAUAUAUUUAUAAGAGCCCGGUGUCACCCGCCAGAGUUAGUUUGAUUUAAACAGCGAAACAAGCGAUUUCGAAACAAAAAGGAAAGAAGUUAUCUGUGAGCCUUCAUUUUAAAGUAUCACGUGUGAGUAUUUUUAAUAGUGUGUUUAAUUAAUUCUCGAUUUUGAAGCGAAGAAGAAAAAAGUUGUCUGUGAGCCUUUACUGUGAAAUAUCAAAUAAUACAAUGCCCAGACGUAAAACAGGAGGAGAUCUUGCCAGUUCUGCAACGAAAAGGCGGAAACAAAAAGAAUAUCGAAGAAAUGAAACGGAAGAAGAGCACGAAACACGUUUACAAAAUCAACGAACCAGAAUGAGCACCCUGAGAAGCAGA
This is a long non-coding RNA of Melitaea cinxia (Glanville fritillary), 520 nucleotides long. RefSeq lists it as uncharacterized. The transcript has 2 exons. The record is from RefSeq and is a predicted model, not a curated record. Lineage: Eukaryota; Metazoa; Arthropoda; Insecta; Lepidoptera; Nymphalidae.